CCACUGCCUGCUUUCCCAGUUCACGUCAGGUGUGUGGCUGCGGCUCAAUUAAUGUUGAACUCCAUGUCAUAGAUAAAAUGACAGAGAAAAGAAAAAAUGGACAUAAGAUCAUUUUUCAGUGCACCUAAACGCCAAGCAAAGGAGACAGAAAUUAUUGAGGGACAGGUAGACCAGGGUCAAUCAGAUGUACAGUGUCAGGAGUCAGUCUGUUCUGUGACAGUGAGAGUAGAGGAAGGGGCAGAUUCAAAACCAGGGAAGGAGCCGGAGACAGCAGAACAAAGAGAUGAUAUUGCCAGCACCAGCACAGGGAGCACAGUUUUUAGUUU
This is a long non-coding RNA of Labeo rohita (rohu), 326 nucleotides long. RefSeq lists it as uncharacterized. NCBI's taxonomy places the organism in Eukaryota, Metazoa, Chordata, Actinopteri, Cypriniformes, Cyprinidae. The transcript is spliced from 4 exons. The record is from RefSeq and is a predicted model, not a curated record.